GUACCCCAAUAUGCACUAUUAUACCACGUUACCCCACCAUUUCAGUGGCUUCACUGCACUGCUAGUUAAGCAGUCUAUAAAACAUCUUUGGACAUAUUUAUCUACAUGGGGGAAAAAACAUGUGGGUAGAUAUAUCACCAACAUACCUCAAUCAGUACAGUGGACAAUAAACAAUGGUUGCAACACACAGGAAGAAACAGAUUGCCUGGAAAUAUUACAGACAUUUACACUCACAUAGAAACACUUAACACCCAUCUCUUAUAUUAUUAAAAACUACAAUUAAUUCUAUACUAAUAUUUAUAUUAAAUACUAC
RNAcentral lists this long non-coding RNA (313 nucleotides) under Androctonus crassicauda. The record is from RNAcentral. Lineage: Eukaryota; Metazoa; Arthropoda; Arachnida; Scorpiones; Buthidae.